This is a microRNA precursor of Poecilia formosa (Amazon molly), 78 nucleotides long. NCBI's taxonomy places the organism in Eukaryota, Metazoa, Chordata, Actinopteri, Cyprinodontiformes, Poeciliidae. The record is from Ensembl.
CCGUGGGGAAAUGUAGUAGACUUUCAGUAUACGUGUGGAACUGAAGAGUAUACUAAGUACACUACGUUUAUCCAGGGG